This 369-nucleotide ribosomal RNA is filed under the name Atractus badius. RNAcentral describes it as "partial 16S ribosomal RNA". It matches the Rfam family "Bacterial large subunit ribosomal RNA", at positions 1970 to 2557 of the family's 2925-position model. Lineage: Eukaryota; Metazoa; Chordata; Lepidosauria; Squamata; Dipsadidae. The record is from RNAcentral.
UGUCUAUUAAUUGUAGACCAGUAUGAAAGGCAUAAUGAGGGUCUAUCUGUCUCUUAUAAUAAGUCAAUUAAACUGAUCUCCUAGUAAAAAAGCUAGAAUCUCUACAUCAGACCAGAAGACCCUGUGAAACUUAAAUUAAACUAUUAAAUCCCAUAAUACCUACUUUCGGUUGGGGCGACCUUGGAAAAAAAAAGAACUUCCAAAUACAUGACCAAAAAUCACACACCGGCCCACAAGCCUACACAGACCCAGUACAACUGAUAAUUGAACCAAGCUACUCCAGGGAUAACAGCGCCAUCUUCUUCAAGAGUCCAUAUCAAAAAGAAGGUUUACGACCUCGAUGUUGGAUCAGGACAUCCUAAUGGUGCA